AGUAAAGUGGCUGAAUAAUAGGCAAUAAAUUGUAAAUUUAUCUAUGAGAGUAAUCUUUUUUACUA
This 65-nucleotide transfer RNA is filed under the name Ironoquia dubia. Its description in RNAcentral is "tRNA-Tyr". Lineage: Eukaryota; Metazoa; Arthropoda; Insecta; Trichoptera; Limnephilidae. The record is from RNAcentral.